UGAAUACUCAAGAAGGGUAGAAGAGAAAAAAAAGGUCGCAGAGAAAGUCAAUGGCCCAAUGAGCAUAAAGGAUGCCAGCAGACAGCUAAUGAUAAUCCAUUGCGAGAAAAAUAAAGAGAGAAAAUAGGGAAAUGUCUUGAUGAGAGGGACAUAAAGUUGAGGAAUAUCUCUUGUAAAAUAGGAAGUUCGAUUGUACUUACCUACAGGGAGAUUUAUUUUGAUUUUAACCACUCUUUGAAAAGUCAUAGUGUUU
RNAcentral lists this long non-coding RNA (253 nucleotides) under Carica papaya (papaya). Its description in RNAcentral is "long non-coding RNA (CPAP_LNC012948)". The record is from RNAcentral. Lineage: Eukaryota; Viridiplantae; Streptophyta; Magnoliopsida; Brassicales; Caricaceae.